This 197-nucleotide unclassified non-coding RNA is filed under the name plant metagenome. Its description in RNAcentral is "partial contains small subunit ribosomal RNA, internal transcribed spacer 1, and 5.8S ribosomal RNA". The record is from RNAcentral.
UCUCCGUUGGUGAACCAGCGGAGGGAUCAUUACCGAGUGCAAACUCAUAACCCUUUGUGAACCUAUAUCUGUUGCUUCGGCGGCUCGCUCUCGGGCGAGCCCGCCGGUAAUAUCAGUGUCUCUGUUCGAACCCGACGAUACUUCUGAGUGUUCUUAGCGAACAGUUAAAACUUUUAACAACGGAUCUCUUGGCUCUA